RNAcentral lists this ribosomal RNA (101 nucleotides) under Methylococcaceae bacterium. Lineage: Bacteria; Pseudomonadati; Pseudomonadota; Gammaproteobacteria; Methylococcales; Methylococcaceae. The record is from RNAcentral.
GAGCGUGAACCACCCGAUCCCAUCUCGAACUCGGAAGUGAAACCGCUUAGCGCCGAUGAUAGUGUGGCAGGUUGCCAUGUGAAAGUAGGGAAUUGCCAAGC